Molecule: transfer RNA, 71 nt
Filed under: Tetrahymena thermophila SB210
Lineage: Eukaryota; Ciliophora; Oligohymenophorea; Hymenostomatida; Tetrahymenidae
Description: Tetrahymena thermophila tRNA-Gly for anticodon UCC
Rfam family: tRNA
About the family: Transfer RNA (tRNA) molecules are approximately 80 nucleotides in length. Their secondary structure includes four short double-helical elements and three loops (D, anti-codon, and T loops). Further hydrogen bonds mediate the characteristic L-shaped molecular structure. tRNAs have two regions of fundamental functional importance: the anti-codon, which is responsible for specific mRNA codon recognition, and the 3' end, to which the tRNAs corresponding amino acid is attached (by aminoacyl-tRNA synthetases). tRNAs cope with the degeneracy of the genetic code in two manners: having more than one tRNA (with a specific anti-codon) for a particular amino acid; and 'wobble' base-pairing, i.e. permitting non-standard base-pairing at the 3rd anti-codon position.
Source: Rfam by way of RNAcentral
GCAGCGUUGGUCUAAUGGUAAGAUAAUUGCCUUCCAAGCAAUAGACUCGGGUUCGAUUCCCGGACGUUGCA